Molecule: long non-coding RNA, 3431 nt
Filed under: Salmo salar (Atlantic salmon)
Lineage: Eukaryota; Metazoa; Chordata; Actinopteri; Salmoniformes; Salmonidae
Description: lncRNA (ENSSSAG00000109133.1)
Source: RNAcentral
UUAUACAAUAGUUAACUGUAAAUACUACAGUUCACUACAAUAUACUACAGUAAAUACUAGUUUUCACUGUAGUGUUUUUGCUGACUUUAGUGUUUUACAGACUUUUUGCACUUUAGUUACUCCAGUGAAUACUACAGUAAAGUCAGCAAAAACAUUACAGAGAAUACUAUAGUAUUUUUUCAUGUGGGAAGCCAGUAGUCAUGGCUUAGUAAGGACAAGGUGGCAUCUGUAUUCAUAGUGAGUGGAAUGGAGGUGGAUGCUUUUUGAAGAGAAGAUUCUGCAGUAAUGUUUAGGUUAGCGGAGAACAUGAGUGGUUGAUAACAGACUGGCAGGCUGCAAAUCACCAUUUCUUCACCCACAUCUCUUCAACCUUACAAACAAACAGGGGAAAGCUCUUUAACGAGAUACUGAGAGGACAAUGCCCACACACACCCCUCAAAACCAGCCUACUCUCAGUGAUGUAUUGGUCUCAAUAACAUAUUUUGCCAAUAGCAUUUUCAUACACAAAACAAACAUACGAAAAGACACCUACAGUAAAAUGAACAUCAGCUCCGUGGCAAUGUAAGGUGAUCUCACAUGUAUUGCUCAUGAAAACAAACAACAUUCAUGACCCAAUAAAAACAGCUCUAACCGGCUAGCCCAGUUGGUGGUUGGUACGUACUGACAGACAGAGGGAGGUCAGGCUCUCUGAUUCUGCUCAUACAACCUGGCUGGAGGUAACCUCCCUGCUAAACCAAGACAGUUGCUCUGAAGUCAGUGGCAUAUUCUUAAUUUGGAGACGCCAUCCGUCUUAGUAGGAACACACGCACUCGCACACACACAAUAUAUACAGUAUAAUAUACUGUGUAUACUGUUAAUAUAUACUUUUUGUAUUUGUAUUUAUUAGGGAUUCCUUUAGCUGCUGUCAAGGUAGUAAAUCAAAUAAAUCAAAUCAAAUGUUAUUUGUCACAUGCUCCGAAUAUAACAUGUGUAGAUCUUACCGUGAAAUGCUUAUUUACAAGCCCUUAACCAACAAUGCAGUUCAAGAAAUAUAGAAAAUAUUUACUAAAUAACUAAAGUAAAAAAUGUCAUAAAAAGUAACAAUAAAAUUACAUAACAAUAACGAGGCUAUAUACAGGGGGUACGGUCAGAUGCGGAGCAGUUGCCAUGCCAGGCGGUGAUGCAACCAGACAGAAUGCUCUCGAUGGUGCAGCUGAAGAACUUUUUGAGGAACUUGGAACCCAUACCAAAUCUUUUCAGUCUCCUGUGGGGGAAAAGGUGUUGCCGUGCCCUCUUCAUGAUUGUCUUGGUGUGUUUGGACCAUGAUAGUUUGUUGGUGAUGUGGACACCAAGGAACUUGAAACUCUCGACCCGCUCCACUACAGCCCCGUCGAUGUUAAUGGAGGCCUGUUCGGCCCUCCUUUUCCUGUAGUCCACGAUCAUCUCCAGCAACUACUUUUCCUGGGGUCCAAACACAAAGGCACUUACAUCACACAUUAAACAAAAGAUAAAACAGUACAUCAUAUAACAUUAUUACAUCACUACAUAUGAACAAUAUAAAAUGUAUAAUACCACCAUACAACAAUAUUACAAUAUACGUGCGUGUGCUAGCGCUUGUGUGCGUGUGUCUGUACCUUUGUGUGCGUCUCUUCACAGUCCAUAAGGUGUAUUUUUACCUGUUUUUUAACUUGUUAUGGAUAGGGGGCAGUAUUUUCACGGCCGGAUAAAAAAACGUACCCGAUUUAAUCUGAUUAUUACUCCUGCCCAGAAACUAGAAUAUGCAUAUAAUUAUUAGCUUUGGAUAGAAAACACUCCAAAGUUUCUAAAACUGUUUGAAUGGUGUCUGUGAGUAUAACAGAACUCAUUUGGCAGGCCAAAACCUGAGAAGAUUCCAAACAGGAAGCACCCUCUCUGACUAUUUCUUGGCCUUCUUGAUCACCUCUAUCCAAAACAGUGGAUCUCUGCUGUAAUGUGACAUUUUCUAAGGCUCCCAUAGGCUCUCAGAAGGCGCCAGAUUGUUGAAUGACUUUGCAGGCCAUGGCUGAAAAAAUGUAGCGCAUUUGGAUAGUGGUCGAUCUGAGAACAAUGAGACUGGCGCGCGCGUGCACGAGACGACUCCAUGUUUUUAUUUUCAGUCUUUGAACGAAAACAGGGUUUCCCCGGUCGGAAUAUUAUCGCUUUUUUACGAGAAAAAUCACAUAAAAAUUGAUUUUAAACAGCGUUUGACAUGCUUCGAAGUACGGUAAUGGAAUAUUCUGAAAUUUUUUGUCACGAAACGCGCCGGGCGCGUCACCCUUCUUUACCCUUCGGAUAGUGUCUUGAACGCACAACAAAACGCCGCUAUUUGGAUAUAACUAUGGAUUAUUUGGAACCAAACCAACAUUCGUUAUUGAAGUAGAAGUCCUGGGAGUGCAUUCUGACGAAGAACAGCAAAGGUAAUCCAAUAUUUCUUAUAGUAAAUCUGAGUUUGGUGAGUACCAAACUUGGUGGGUGUCAAAAUAGCUAGCCAUGAUGGCCGGGCUAUCUACUCAGAAUAUUGCAAAAUGUGCUUUCACCGAAAAGCUAUUUUAAAAAUCGGACACCGCGAUUGCAUAAAGGAGUUCUGUAUCUAUAAUUCUUAAAAUAAUUGUUAUGUUUUUUGUGAACGUUUAUCGUGAGUCAUUUAGUAAAUUCACCGGAAGUGUUCGGUGGGAAUGCUAGUUCUGAACGUCACAUGCUAAUGUAAAAAGCUGGUUUUUGAUAUAAAUAUGAACUUGAUUGAACAAAACAUGCAUUGUAUAACAUAAUGUCCUAGGAGUGUCAUCUGAUGAAGAUCAUCAAAGGUUAGUGCUGCAUUUAGCUGUGGUUUUGUUUUUUGUGACAUUAUAUGCUAGCUUGAAAAAUGGGUGUCUGAUUAUUUCUGGCUGGGUACUCUGCUGACAUAAUCUAAUGUUUUGCUUUCGCUGUAAAGCCUUUUUGAAAUCGGACAGUGUGGUUAGAUAAAGGAGAGUCUUGUCUUUAAAAUGGUGUAAAAUAGUCAUAUGUUUGAAAAAUGGACGUUUUUGGAUUUUUGAGGAAUUUGUAUUUCGCGCCACGCCUAUCAUUGGAUAUUGGAGCAGGUGUUCCGCUAGCGGAACAUCUAGAUGUAUUAAGUUAAUGUAGUACUGUGUGUAUGUAUGUAUAUAUACUCUAAUGCCAAGAGUGUGCAAAGCUGUCUUAAAGGCAAAGGGUGGCUACAUUGAAGAAUACACUUUUUUGGUUACUACAUGAUUCCAUGUGUUAUUUCAUAGUUUUAAUGUGUUCACUAUUAUUCUACAAUGUGGAAAAUAGUAAAAAAUAAAGAAAAACUCUUGAAUGAGUAGGUGUGUCCAAACUUUUGACUGGUACUGUAUGUCCUCAUUUACCAUUAAUCCCUGUCAUUUCGUUACAUACAUUUCUGUUAAUGCAAGGAUUAAUGAAGCCUACAGUCAUUU